CGCCGAUGACAGACCCCUCCCUCACCUGCUCUUACCUUACCGCUCCCGACGCACUUUACCGCCGCAUCCACCUAAACGAAGACACGAAGACAACGAAAGAGAAAAACACCCGCUGCACCAUCCAACCAUACUUCGAUCUAUCCGCCCACCUCUCUUCCCCUCCCUUUUCCUCCGAAGUACCACUUUUGACCUUCCUUCUUUGCCCUCUAGUUUACCUUGACUCGCAACUCGUCGUACGAAGAGUCACUUGUCGGUAUGGAGAGUUUGUGGCGAAGAGGAAGCAAAGGAGUGAGAAAAGAAGGGAGAGGGAGAAAGAGAGGUAGUCUCAAACGAGACUUUAAAGCAGUCCCCACGGGGACGUUCGGUGGAUAGACGAUCCUAACCCUAAGUUGUUUACCCCGUGCGGAGGUGUACGUUUUCCAGGUUCCUUCUCCAUCGUCCGCUUUCCUUGUUUUGGCGACCGGUGUUUGUCAAAUUCACGUUUUUGCGGCUUGGCUACGGUGGCCUCUUUGAUCGUGGAGACGAAGUUGAGGUGGGAGUCAGAGUAAGAGGGGAUGCUGGACACUCGCUUGCGAGUGAUGAGGCAUCUCUUUUUGACUGUACUCUUGGUCUUGCUUUGUGGAAGCGAUCGAGCGACUGUCAUGGCUCAGCUCUCAGAACGUGGCUUUGGCCGAUAUCGAGCUUCAAACGAAAGGAAGCGGAAGGGAGAGAGGAUGGGAGACGUACAAAUGCAGCUCUAGAGCCCCUCUCCAUCUUUACUCGUUAGGAGUCGGAGGCGGAUCUAUGUAUACUUUCGAAUAUGCAUAGACUUCCGUUCCACAUCGUUGGAAGGCUUUAUCGGCAUUUGCCCUCCGCCACCCAAUUUGAUAUCGACGUACACCGCAACAAAAGGGCUUGCUCUUUGGUUCUCACAAAAGCGCUUUUGUGAAUGGCGGCGAUGUACCUCGUUCGGUAUAACGGUUUUCUUUCUUUGCGCUAGCGGUUCCAUCGUGAUAUCGUUUCUCGUUCACGUCCAAAGGUGCAUCUUUGUUCCGUCCUUCUUUCCGGCACCUUCCUCCCCUUUUUGUCUGGAUCGGAUAGAAGGGGAGGAGAAUCAAUUGGAAAGGUAAGCGAAGUGAUGGCCGGCAUUUGUUGCUUUCUUUGUUGUCUUUGUUGUCGUCGUCAACGGUGGGAGUGGCGGUAGAGUGUAGUGUAAGGUAGGUUCAGUUAGCAGGGUGGAUUCUCGAGGCGUUCUUGACCCGCACCUCUUCUUCGCUCCCAAUCUUUCCUUCGUUCGAUUCUCCUUUCAUCCUUGCGACUUAUGACUUUGCUCAAAAGCGACGACAGGCAAGCGCGACAAAAUGAUGACUGCAACGAGCUGCGAAAAAGAAAGCUCUCUUUCUCUCAUCCUCCUAUGCACAACUCUGCGGAGUCCUUCUGAACGACCUCUUCCUCUCGGCCCCCGGACAUCUUCCUUUGCUAAUCUCUCCCCUUUGCUUCUCUCUGCGCUUUUUGUCCCUUUUCCAACUUUAUUAAAGGUGCGAGUCUCGUUUUCCGUUCAGCUCUCCUGUAGCGAUGCAGAGAGAUGAGCGCGCGGAAACGUACCACGCGCCCUCGGAAGUUCAGGAGAGGUUCCGAUGAGGGUGCGUCUUACCAGAGCAAUGGGGAGAAGAGUAGAGCAGGAGAGAAGGAUAGGGUAGAAGGAAGAGGUUGAUCGCAAGACGUGCAGUCAGAGUUUCGUACUCGCUUAAGGCUGAGAGAGAAGGAAGCUUUCUUGGACCGCGUUCGGAGUGGCAAGAUGCGCUUGCUCGAGUUUUUGAGUAGAAGAAUAUGUCAAGCAGGGGGGCAAGCAGGGAAUAGAGGAAGAAUAGCGGAUAAGAAGGUGGUAGAUAGUAUCAGGGUAAUUUUUCCACUCCUUUCAAGG
This 1903-nucleotide non-coding RNA is filed under the name Pseudozyma tsukubaensis. The record is from RNAcentral. Lineage: Eukaryota; Fungi; Basidiomycota; Ustilaginomycetes; Ustilaginales; Ustilaginaceae.